GAAACCAAGCCUCCUGAAUCCCAAGCCUCGUGAAUCUCAUUCCAACAUUGUUUUAAUCCAAUCUCAGAAUGUCAAAGGUACCUUCAAGAGAAAACAGCGAUUCAAGGAGGGGCUCAGGACCAAGGAGAAGAAUCCAAGGAUCGGAGAGUACAGUGCCUAACAAGCAAUGGAGUACUCUUGCCGAGGGAUUCUGGCAGGAAGCGACUUUGAUAGACUCUUAGAAGAGGUGUCUUAGAGGAACACAGAUGCACAAAGAGGCAUGACCAAGGAUGUUCGCUGCUGCAACGCGUAUGUAGUAAGAUACUAUAAGCAACACAAAUGCCCGCCACUCAGAGAACGGUUGAGUAAAAUCGU
Molecule: long non-coding RNA, 354 nt
Organism: Prionailurus viverrinus (fishing cat)
Lineage: Eukaryota; Metazoa; Chordata; Mammalia; Carnivora; Felidae
Exons: 3
Source: RefSeq, a predicted model, not a curated record